GACGAACGCUGGCGGCGUGCUUAACUCAUGCUAGUCGAACGGAAAGGCCCUGCUUUUGUGGGGUGCUUGAGUGGCGAACGGGUGAGUAACACGUGAGUAACCUGCCCUUGACUUUGGGAUAACUUCAGGAAACUGGGGCUAAUACCGGAUAGGAGCUCCUGCUGCAUGGUGGGGGUUGGAAAGUUUCGGCGGUUGGGGAUGGACUCGCGGCUUAUCAGCUUGUUGGUGGGGUAGUGGCUUACCAAGGCUUUGACGGGUAGCCGGCCUGUGAGGGUGACCGGCCACAUUGGGACUGAGAUACGGCCCAGACUCCUACGGGAGGCAGCAGUGGGGAAUAUUGCACAAUGGGCGGAAGCCUGAUGCAGCAACGCCGCGUGCGGGAUGACGGCCUUCGGGUUGUAAACCGCUUUCGCCUGUGACGAAGCGUGAGUGACGGUAAUGGGUAAAGAAGCACCGGCUAACUACGUG
Molecule: ribosomal RNA, 468 nt
Filed under: uncultured bacterium
Lineage: Bacteria
Description: partial 16S ribosomal RNA
Rfam family: Bacterial small subunit ribosomal RNA
Source: RNAcentral